GCUCGUAGUUGAACCUUGGGCCUGGCUGGCCGGUCCGCCCCACCGCGUACUGGUCCGGCCGGGCCUUUCCUUCUGGGGAACCUCAUGCCCUUCACUGGGCGUGCUGGGGAACCAGGACUUUUACUUUGAAAAAAUUAGAGUGUUCAAAGCAGGCCUUUGCUCGAAUACAUUAGCAUGGAAUAAUAGAAUAGGACGUGUGGUUCUAUUUUGUUGGUUUCUAGGACCGCCGUAAUGAUUAAUAGGGAUAGUCGGGGGCAUCAGUAUUCAAGCGUCAGAGGUGAAAUUCUUGGAUUGCUUGAAGACUAACUACUGCGAAAGCAUUUGCCAAGGAUGUUUUCAUUAAUCAGUGAACGAAAGUUAGGGGAUCGAAGACGAUCAGAUACCGUCGUAGUCUUAACCAUAAACUAUGCCGACUAGGGAUCGGACGGUGUUAGUAUUUUGACCCGUUCGGCACCUUACGAGAAAUCAAAGUUUUUGGGUUCUGGGGGGAGUAUGGUCGCAAGGCUGAAACUUAAAGAAAUUGACGGAAGGGCACCACCAGGCGUGGAGCCUGCGGCUUAAUUUGACUCAACACGGGGAAACUCACCAGGUCCAGACACAAUAAGGAUUGACAGAUUGAGAGCUCUUUCUUGAUUUUGUGGGUGGUGGUGCAUGGCCGUUCUUAGUUGGUGGAGUGAUUUGUCUGCUUAAUUGCGAUAACGAACGAGACCUUAACCUGCUAAAUAGCCAGGCCCGCUUUGGCGGGUCGCCGGCUUCUUAGAGGGACUAUCGGCUCAAGCCGAUGGAAGUUUGAGGCAAUAACAGGUCUGUGAUGCCCUUAAAUGUUCUGGGCCGCACGCGCGCUACACUGACAGAACCAACGAGUUCAUUUNCUUGUCCGAAANGNCUGGGGUANUCUUUGUUAA
Molecule: ribosomal RNA, 905 nt
Filed under: Cladosporium sp. 2b-C
Lineage: Eukaryota; Fungi; Ascomycota; Dothideomycetes; Cladosporiales; Cladosporiaceae
Description: SSU rRNA
Rfam family: Eukaryotic small subunit ribosomal RNA
Source: RNAcentral